This 656-nucleotide ribosomal RNA is filed under the name uncultured Actinomycetes bacterium. RNAcentral's name for it is "bacterial SSU rRNA". It matches the Rfam family "Bacterial small subunit ribosomal RNA", at positions 789 to 1444 of the family's 1533-position model. The record is from RNAcentral. Lineage: Bacteria; Bacillati; Actinomycetota; Actinomycetes.
GGUAGUCCACGCCGUAAACGUUGGGCGCUAGCUGUGGGCUCCAUUCCACGGAGUCCGUGACGAAGUUAACACAUUAAGCGCCCCGCCUGGGGAGUACGGCCGCAAGGCUAAAACUCAAAGGAAUUGACGGGGGCCCGCACAAGCGGCGGAGCAUGCGGAUUAAUUCGAUGCAACGCGAAGAACCUUACCAAGUCUUGACAUAUAGAGGAAAAGUGCAGAAAUGUACUCCCCGCAAGGUCUCUAUACAGGUGGUGCAUGGUUGUCGUCAGCUCGUGUCGUGAGAUGUUGGGUUAAGUCCCGCAACGAGCGCAACCCUCGUCCUAUGUUGCCAGCACGUUAUGGUGGGAACUCAUGGGAGACUGCCGGCGUCAAACCGGAGGAAGGUGGGGAUGACGUCAAAUCAUCAUGCCCCUUAUGACUUGGGCUUCACGCAUGCUACAAUGGCCGGUACAAAGGGCUGCAAUACCGUAAGGUGGAGCGAAUCCCAAAAAGCCGGUCUCAGUUCGGAUUGAGGUCUGCAACUCGACCUCAUGAAGUUGGAGUCGCUAGUAAUCGCAGAUCAGCAACGCUGCGGUGAAUACGUUCCCGGGCCUUGUACACACCGCCCGUCAAGUCACGAAAGUCGGUAACACCCGAAGCCGGUGGCCUAACCGUAA